CAUGCACUGGUGGGGUCCCUUGGCCUGGCCUGUGCCCUCUUAUAAUCCAGGACCCCUUGGGGGAUGUUGCACUGCUGGUUUUGGCCCAAUCCCUGCAGGCCAGGCCAAGAGACCCCACCAGUGCAUG
Molecule: microRNA precursor, 127 nt
Filed under: Myotis brandtii (Brandt's bat)
Lineage: Eukaryota; Metazoa; Chordata; Mammalia; Chiroptera; Vespertilionidae
Description: mir-9193 microRNA precursor family
Rfam family: mir-9193 microRNA precursor family
Source: Rfam by way of RNAcentral